This is a long non-coding RNA of Homo sapiens (human), 319 nucleotides long. RefSeq lists it as uncharacterized. The transcript is spliced from 2 exons. NCBI's taxonomy places the organism in Eukaryota, Metazoa, Chordata, Mammalia, Primates, Hominidae. The record is from RefSeq and is a predicted model, not a curated record.
GGCCAGGCUGGUGCUUUCAUUAAUUCUUGUUUAUUUUUUAUUAUUUUUUUUUUCUGGUUAAAAAUAGGUCUUGGUGACCUUUGGAAGUGACCUUGAAGGGGAAAAAUUCGCUGAAGGGCUACGUAUAGCCUGAACUGAAGGUUGAGCCUGGUGGCUAAUGCCUGUAAUCCUAGCACUUUGGGAAGCUGAGAUGGGAAGACUGCUUGAGCCCAGGAGUUCUGUGCUGCAGAAGGCCAUGAUCCCACCACUGCACUUCAGUAGGAACAGAGCGAGAACUUGUCUCUAAUAAUAAAAAAAAAAAGUACACAUUAAACCAAAA